This 253-nucleotide ribosomal RNA is filed under the name uncultured prokaryote. Its description in RNAcentral is "partial 16S ribosomal RNA". It matches the Rfam family "Bacterial small subunit ribosomal RNA", at positions 525 to 777 of the family's 1533-position model. The record is from RNAcentral.
ACGGAGGGUGCAAGCGUUGUUCGGAAUCACUGGGCGUAAAGGGCGUGUAGGCGGCCUGUUAAGUCCGAUGUGAAAUCCCCUCGCUCAACGAGGGAACUGCGUCGGAAACUGGCAGGCUCGAGUACCGGAGAGGAAGGUGGAAUUCCCGGUGUAGCGGUGAAAUGCGUAGAUAUCAGGAGGAACACCGGUGGCGAAGGCGGGUCUCUGGGCCGAUACUGACGCUGAGGAGCGAAAGCGUGGGGAGCGAACAGGA